GCCUUAGAUAGCUCAUUCAUGUCCAUAAAUUCAUAUUUUCUUGCACCUAUCGGUCGAACCAUUUGUUUAAAUAUAGACAACGUCGGCUCAUUGUCACCCAAUCAUUGUCUGCAUUACGAUCUGCAUGAUUAAAUCUUGUUUUGAUAUCAUCAAGAUACAUCGAACAGAAUGUGAGACGCUCAGUAGCUACAUAUGCUUCCGCUAU
Molecule: long non-coding RNA, 205 nt
Filed under: Elaeis guineensis (African oil palm)
Lineage: Eukaryota; Viridiplantae; Streptophyta; Magnoliopsida; Arecales; Arecaceae
Description: long non-coding RNA (EGUI_LNC028234)
Source: RNAcentral